CCUACGGGAGGCAGCAGUGGGGAAUUUUCCGCAAUGGGCGAAAGCCUGACGGAGCAACGCCGCGUGAGGGAUGAGGGCCUCUGGGCUGUAAACCUCUUUUAUCAAGGAAGAAGAUCUGACGGUACUUGAUGAAUAAGCCACGGCUAAUUCCGUGCCAGCAGCCGCGGUAAUACGGGAGUGGCAAGCGUUAUCCGGAAUUAUUGGGCGUAAAGCGUCCGCAGGCGGUCUUGUAAGUCUGUCGUUAAAGCGUGGAGCUUAACUCCAUUUCGGCGGUGGAAACUACAAGACUAGAGUGUGGUAGGGGCAGAGGGAAUUCCCGGUGUAGCGGUGAAAUGCGUAGAUAUCGGGAAGAACACCAGUGGCGAAGGCGCUCUGCUGGGCCAUAACUGUACGCCCAUGGACGAAAGCUAGGGGAGCGAAAGGGAUUAGAUACCCCUGUAGUCCUAGCCGUAAACGAUGAACACUAGGUGUCGGGGAAUCGACCCCUCGGUGUCGUAGCUAACGCGUUAAGUGUUCCGCCUGGGAGUACGCACGCAAGUGUGAAACUCAAAGGAAUUGACGGCNGAGAGUGCGAGACGACGACGAGGGAGAGG
RNAcentral lists this ribosomal RNA (593 nucleotides) under uncultured bacterium. RNAcentral describes it as "bacterial SSU rRNA". It matches the Rfam family "Bacterial small subunit ribosomal RNA", at positions 338 to 947 of the family's 1533-position model. The record is from RNAcentral.